This 335-nucleotide ribosomal RNA is filed under the name Acrocercops transecta. RNAcentral's name for it is "partial 12S ribosomal RNA". The record is from RNAcentral. Lineage: Eukaryota; Metazoa; Arthropoda; Insecta; Lepidoptera; Gracillariidae.
GAUGUGUACAUAUUUUAAUUAAAAAUCAUUUUAUUAAAUUAAAUAAAAUUACAUUUAAAUCCAAUUUCAAAUAAAUAUUACAAUUUAUCAUUCAAAAAUAAUUUUAUUGUAAUCCAUUAUAUUCUUAAAUAUAAACUACAUCUUGAUCUGAUUUAAUUUUUUUUAAAAAUUUUAAAAUAUUAAAUUUCAUAAAAAAUAUUUUUUUAACAACGAUAUAUAAAUUUUUAAUUUAAGUAAAUUAAUUCGUGGAUUAUCAAUUAUUAAACAGAUUCCUCUAAAUUUACUAAAAUACCGCCAAAUCAUUUAAAUUUCAAUAAAUAAUUAUUUACUAAUUU